CCAGUUCAGAAGGUAGGGGGUACAUGAUCAUAUAUGAAGCUCCGAGGCAUAUCAGAAUUCAUAUCACGAUAGUUACUAAUUGAGCUCCAACUAACCCUGUAAGCUGGCGACAAUCUUUCAAACAGCACAAACACUAUACAUAGGUACAGGUGUACUUCAAUUAGAUAUUUGUACUAAGCCUUUUAUUUCGUCAACACAUGUUUCAUUUCACGGGCUCAGAUUGUAACUGCCAGCAAAAUAUCACCAGCUUUAUGAAUUUUUUUUUGUUUCUUUUAGUACUAAGCCAGAAUUUCCAGUUGGUCCCAGUGUCUAAAGGGCUGGGUUGUAUCCAUCUUAAAUGAAAGAACAAAUUAAAAUUAAAGGUUCUCCUUAUAGUUAAAAAUAUAUGCAACAGUGUAUAACUGUAAAGUUCCAUGUUUUAACACCACACAAUAGUCAAAUUUUGUAUCCUUGGAAGAAUGAGGCCUGCAUAUACUAAGAUAAACUACAGAAGCUUUUCAUGCGUUAGCGCAGGAGUUUUUUUCUGGUUAAAGU
This 534-nucleotide long non-coding RNA is filed under the name Setaria viridis. RNAcentral's name for it is "long non-coding RNA (SVIR_LNC006222)". Lineage: Eukaryota; Viridiplantae; Streptophyta; Magnoliopsida; Poales; Poaceae. The record is from RNAcentral.